AGCGCCGCUACUACAGCGCACCAAACGGGUUUCUACGAGCCUAUACAAUAAUAUUUAAUGCAUAAACAAAAAUUUAAGAAAUCAGAUGUUUUAUUUUUUAAGUCCUCUCUUCCAAUAGCAACAAGCCAUUUCUUGCACCUAUAUUAUCGGUAAAUAAACGGUAUUUAAAAAUUAUUAACUCACAAUUACUCUUAAGAAUAUUAAAAACCGUAACAGAGCAAUACUUACAUUUCUACGUCCUUCGGCAAUCUGUGACAUAUUUUAUCUGGAUUAUUUCGAAGGGUAUUUUUGCACUUAGAGACAAAAUAAUACGUUCCUCCCCUUAUGUAUGAACUCAUUAUUUGUUUUUUAUUUAUUUUCUAAGUUAAAUUGUAGAAUAAAAAAGAAUACCGAACAACUUCUAAUUCAAAAAUUCGAAUUAGACCACAAAAGCAGAUUUUGCGCAUGCCCACAGAAGAAAUUCUACCGUGCGCAUCUCCAACCCGGAAAACAAAGUUCAUCACGUGGUUCUAUCAUUAUUUCCAACUACCAGAUGUCGCUGAAUUUCGGGACACGCAAAAUCCACUUC
This 568-nucleotide long non-coding RNA is filed under the name Androctonus crassicauda. Lineage: Eukaryota; Metazoa; Arthropoda; Arachnida; Scorpiones; Buthidae. The record is from RNAcentral.